This 170-nucleotide ribosomal RNA is filed under the name uncultured Thermoanaerobacterium sp. Its description in RNAcentral is "partial 16S ribosomal RNA". It matches the Rfam family "Bacterial small subunit ribosomal RNA", at positions 337 to 525 of the family's 1533-position model. The record is from RNAcentral. Lineage: Bacteria; Bacillati; Bacillota; Clostridia; Thermoanaerobacterales; Thermoanaerobacteraceae.
UCCUACGGGAGGCAGCAGUGGGGAAUAUUGCGCAAUGGGGGGAACCCUGACGCAGCGACGCCGCGUGGAUGAAGAAGGCUUUCGGGUUGUAAAGUCCUAAGAAUGGGGAAGAAGAAGACGGUACCCAUAGAAAAGCCCCGGCUAACUACGUGCCAGCAGCCGCGGUAAUA